Molecule: unclassified non-coding RNA, 290 nt
Filed under: Hevea brasiliensis (rubber tree)
Lineage: Eukaryota; Viridiplantae; Streptophyta; Magnoliopsida; Malpighiales; Euphorbiaceae
Source: RNAcentral
UGCGGGGCCCAUCCUUUUAUAAUGAAACCUCUGUCAGCCACACGAUCUUCAAAUCCGUCUGGCAAGUCACCGUAAUCGCUUGACGUUCUCCGUUGCUCCACUGGUUGCCUAACGCACCAUAUAAAAUGGACUCCGCUUUUAUCUAGGGCAGCUGCCAGCUCAUCCAUUUGCUUACACGUCAGAGCUGUUCGGCUUCCAAAGCAAACAUACACGACUGAAUGGUCUUUACAGGAAUAAAGCCAUGUCAGCACAUCAUGACAUGGCACGGAGCUGGACCCACCACGGUUAGC